UACGUAGGGUGCAAGCGUUAAUCGGAAUUACUGGGCGUAAAGCGUGCGCAGGCGGUUUUGUAAGUCAGAUGUGAAAUCCCCGGGCUUAACCUGGGAACUGCGUUUGAAACUACAAGGCUAGAGUGUGGCAGAGGGGGGUGGAAUUCCACGUGUAGCAGUGAAAUGCGUAGAGAUGUGGAGGAACACCGAUAGCGAAGGGCAGCCCCCUGGGUUAACACUGACGCUUAGGCACGAAAGCGUGGGGAGCAAACAGG
RNAcentral lists this ribosomal RNA (254 nucleotides) under uncultured bacterium. RNAcentral's name for it is "partial 16S ribosomal RNA". It matches the Rfam family "Bacterial small subunit ribosomal RNA", at positions 524 to 776 of the family's 1533-position model. The record is from RNAcentral.